This 486-nucleotide ribosomal RNA is filed under the name uncultured bacterium. Its description in RNAcentral is "partial 16S ribosomal RNA". It matches the Rfam family "Bacterial small subunit ribosomal RNA", at positions 30 to 507 of the family's 1533-position model. The record is from RNAcentral.
AUUGAACGCUGGCGGCAUGCCUUACACAUGCAAGUCGAACGGCAGCACGGGUGCUUGCACCUGGUGGCGAGUGGCGAACGGGUGAGUAAUACAUCGGAACAUGUCCUGUAGUGGGGGAUAGCCCGGCGAAAGCCGGAUUAAUACCGCAUACGAUCUACGGAUGAAAGCGGGGGACCUUCGGGCCUCGCGCUAUAGGGUUGGCCGAUGGCUGAUUAGCUAGUUGGUGGGGUAAAGGCCUACCAAGGCGACGAUCAGCAGCUGGUCUGAGAGGACGACCAGCCACACUGGAACUGAGACACGGCCCAGACUCCUACGGGAGGCAGCAGUGGGGAAUUUUGGACAAUGGGCGAAAGCCUGAUCCAGCAAUGCCGCGUGUGUGAAGAAGGCCUUCGGGUUGUAAAGCACUUUUGUCCGGAAAGAAAUCCUUGGCCCUAAUACGGUCGGGGGAUGACGGUACCGGAAGAAUAAGCACCGGCUAACUACGUG